This 468-nucleotide ribosomal RNA is filed under the name uncultured bacterium. RNAcentral's name for it is "partial 16S ribosomal RNA". It matches the Rfam family "Bacterial small subunit ribosomal RNA", at positions 28 to 507 of the family's 1533-position model. The record is from RNAcentral.
GACGAACGCUGGCGGCGUGCUUAACACAUGCAAGUCGAACGGAAAGGCCCUGCUUUUGUGGGGUGCUCGAGUGGCGAACGGGUGAGUAACACGUGAGUAACCUUCCCUUGACUUUGGGAUAACUUCAGGAAACUGGGGCUAAUACCGGAUAGGAGCUCCUGCUGCAUGGUGGGGGUUGGAAAGUUUCGGCGGUUGGGGAUGGACUCGCGGCUUAUCAGCUUGUUGGUGGGGUAGUGGCUUACCAAGGCUUUGACGGGUAGCCGGCCUGAGAGGGUGACCGGCCACAUUGGGACUGAGAUACGGCCCAGACUCCUACGGGAGGCAGCAGUGGGGAAUAUUGCACAAUGGGCGGAAGCCUGAUGCAGCAACGCCGCGUGCGGGAUGACGGCCGUCGGGUUGUAAACCGCUUUCGCCUGUGACGAAGCGUGAGUGACGGUAAUGGGUAAAGAAGCACCGGCUAACUACGUG